Molecule: long non-coding RNA, 1259 nt
Filed under: Citrus sinensis (sweet orange)
Lineage: Eukaryota; Viridiplantae; Streptophyta; Magnoliopsida; Sapindales; Rutaceae
Description: long non-coding RNA (CSIN_LNC000018)
Source: RNAcentral
UUCUAUGGUCAACCUCCCCAUUCUUAGGGAAUCUAUUUUUGUAAGCUAGGUCAAUAGCAUCAAUUCAAAUUUGUUUGUUAGCAGCAUCUAUUUCUGGAGAGUCGAAAUUUUGUUUGUGCAAAUUUGGUUUUCAGAGAUGAAUAUACAUGGAUGCCGGACCAUAAUACGACAGAUAUGUUCACUGCAAUUACAAAUAAUGAGUAGAUAUAAACUAAGAAGUACCAAAUACAUAUGCUAUGAUCAAGAAAGGUAAUGGUUAUGCUUUUAAAGCUUGAUUUUUAGCCUGUAUUUUAACCAACCUAUCUAAAGCUACAAAGCUAACAAACAUAUAAUAAUCACAGCAGUAAAUUCUUAUAAUCAGGAUGAGGAUACAGUUUGAUGAACUGAUAAUUUCUGUUUCAAUCACCCCGCUUUAGUAUUUACAGGCUAACCAGAAAGGAAUGGAUAUGCCUACCAAAAACUGUUGUGAAAGGAACGUAUAAUCAAUUGAACUAUGCAUCCAAGAUGAGUGAUAUCUUGCAUCCUUAACGAGGAAAAGCACAUAACAUCAUCCAAGAAAUGAGGAAGAUACAUAAUUGCCCGAGUUUUGAUACAAUGCAGAAUUCAAUAUUUCAUUGCUUCCGGCGUUGAUAAAAACUUUACCGCAAAGGGGUAUACGGUAUGUGGUUGCCAUGAAUAAGGAUAGGUUGCUGUAAGCAAGCGAAUUAAAGAAUUGUCGAAUUUGGUUAAAGUGUUUUGAAACAUAUGGAGUUUUAAUUAGUUUUGACAAAUAAGAGAGAGGGGUUUCACUCAUUUUCUAAUAUUCAAUCAACUUCAUCGAUCAACCUCCUCAAGCAUAUUAUCACACAUUACGGUAAAUAAUGUGCUUAAAUGAUUUCAUUUGAUUCUUACCCAAUAUUUUUGAGUAAUAUCAAAAGAAUAUAUCAUAACUGAAGCCAACAUAUAAUAUAUAUUCAUAACAAUCAUAUGAGAAUUAUCCAAUCCAAAAUGAGGUUCUAUGGUCAACCUCCCCAUUCUUAGGGAAUCUAUUUUUGUAAGCUAGGUCAAUAGCAUCAAUUCAAAUUUGUUUGUUAGCAGCAUCUAUUUCUGGAGAGUCGAAAUUUUGUUUGUGCAAAUUUGGUUUUCAGAGAUGAAUAUACAUGGAUGCCGGACCAUAAUACGACAGAUAUGUUCACUGCAAUUACAAAUAAUGAGUAGAUAUAAACUAAGAAGUACCAAAUACAUAUGCUAUGAUCAAGAAAGGUAAUGGUUAUGCUUUU